RNAcentral lists this ribosomal RNA (926 nucleotides) under uncultured archaeon. Its description in RNAcentral is "bacterial SSU rRNA". It matches the Rfam family "Archaeal small subunit ribosomal RNA", at positions 1 to 921 of the family's 1478-position model. The record is from RNAcentral.
UUCCGGUUGAUCCUGCCGGACCCGACUGCUAUUUGGGUGAGAAUAAGCCAUGCGAGUUGAAUGGAAUACCUAAAUUUUCCAUGGCAAACUGCUCAGUAACACAUGAUCAACUUACCCUAUAGAGAAAAAUAAUCUCGGGAAACUGAGGAUAAUGUUUCAUAGUUGAAAAGGCUUGGAAAAGUUUUUCAAUCAAAGGGAUAAAAAAAAUGGUUUUUAUCCGCUAUAGGAUAGGAUCGUGCUCGAUUAUGGUUGUUGGUGAGGUAAUGGCUCACCAAGCCGAUAAUCGAUAGGGGCCGUGAGAGCGGGAGCCCCGAGAUGGGUACUGAGACAACGACCCAGGCCUUACGAGGCGCGGCAGGCGCGAAACCUCCGCAAUACACGAAAGUGUGACGGGGUUACCCAAAGUGUUCAGUUUUGAACUGUGGUAGGUGAGUAAUGUCCCCUACUAGAAAGGAGAGGGCAAGGCUGGUGCCAGCCGCCGCGGUAAAACCAGCUCUUCAAGUGGUCGGGAUAAUUAUUGGGCUUAAAGUGUCCGUAGCCGGUUUAGUAAGUUCCCGGUAAAAUCGGGUAGCUUAACUAUCUGUAUGCUAGGAAUACUGCUAAACUAGAGGGCGGGAGAGGUCUGAGGUACUACAGGGGUAGGGGUGAAAUCUUAUAAUCCUUGUAGGACCACCAGUGGCGAAAGGCGUCAGACUGGAACGUGCCUGACGGUGAGGGACGAAAGCCAGGGGAGCGAACCGGAUUAGAUACCCGGGUAGUCCUGGCCGUAAACGAUGCAUACUAGUGAUGGCAUGGCCAUGAGCCGUGUCAGUGCCGUAGGGAAACCGUUUAAGUAUGCCGCCUGGGAAGUACGGUCGCAGGCUAAACUAAAAGGAAUGGCGGGGAGCAUCACAAGGGGGUGAGCUGCGUCAAUUGACUCACGCCGU